CAGGAUGAACGCUGGCGGCGUGCUUAACACAUGCAAGUCGAACGAAGCACUGGAAGCAGAUCUUUCGGAGUGAAGCAUCCUUGACUUAGUGGCGGACGGGUGAGUAACGCGUGGGCAACCUGCCUUUUACCGGGGGACAACAGUUGGAAACGACUGCUAAUACCGCAUAAGCGCACGGCACCGCAUGGUGCAGUGUGAAAAACUCCGGUGGUAAAAAGAUGGGCCCGCGUUGGAUUAGGUAGUUGGUGAGGUAACGGCCCACCAAGCCGACGAUCCAUAGCCGACCUGAGAGGGUGACCGGCCACAUUGGGACUGAGACACGGCCCAAACUCCUACGGGAGGCAGCAGUGGGGAAUAUUGCACAAUGGGGGAAACCCUGAUGCAGCCGACGCCGCGUGAGUGAAGAAGUAUUUCGGUAUGUAAAGCUCUAUCAGCAGGGAAGAAAAUGACGGUACCUGCACAAGAAGCCCCGGCUAACUACGUGCCAGCAGCUGC
Molecule: ribosomal RNA, 495 nt
Filed under: uncultured bacterium
Lineage: Bacteria
Description: bacterial SSU rRNA
Rfam family: Bacterial small subunit ribosomal RNA
Source: RNAcentral